GCGAGCUGGGUUCAGAACGUCGUGAGACAGUUCGGUCCCUAUCCGUCGCGGGCGCAGGAAAUUUGAGAGGAGCUGUCCUUAGUACGAGAGGACCGGGAUGGACGCACCGCUGGUGUACCAGUUGUUCUGCCAAGGGCAUCGCUGGGUAGCUAUGUGCGGACGGGAUAAGUGCUGAAAGCAUCUAAGCAUGAAGCCCCCCUCAAGAUGAGAUUUCCCAUUCCGCAAGGAAGUAAGAUCCCUGAAAGAUGAUCAGGUUGAUAGGUCUGAGGUGGAAGCGUGGUGACACGUGGAGCUGACAGAUACUAAUAGAUCGAGGACUUAACCUAU
Molecule: ribosomal RNA, 327 nt
Filed under: Escherichia coli
Lineage: Bacteria; Pseudomonadati; Pseudomonadota; Gammaproteobacteria; Enterobacterales; Enterobacteriaceae
Description: partial 23S ribosomal RNA
Rfam family: Bacterial large subunit ribosomal RNA
Source: RNAcentral